UACGUAGGGUGCGAGCGUUGUCCGGAAUUAUUGGGCGUAAAGAGCUCGUAGGCGGUGUGUCACGUCGGCCGUGAAAACCUGCAGCUUAACUCUGGGCGUGCGGUCGAUACGGGCAUCACUUGAGUUCGGCAGGGGAGACUGGAAUUCCUGGUGUAGCGGUGAAAUGCGUAGAUAUCUGGAGGAACACCGGUGGCGAAGGCGGCAUCCUGGACCGACACUGACGCUGAGGAGCGAAAGCCAGGGGAGCAAACGGG
RNAcentral lists this ribosomal RNA (254 nucleotides) under uncultured bacterium. RNAcentral's name for it is "partial 16S ribosomal RNA". It matches the Rfam family "Bacterial small subunit ribosomal RNA", at positions 524 to 776 of the family's 1533-position model. The record is from RNAcentral.